Molecule: small nucleolar RNA, 108 nt
Organism: Rhododendron vialii
Lineage: Eukaryota; Viridiplantae; Streptophyta; Magnoliopsida; Ericales; Ericaceae
Product: small nucleolar RNA snoR100
Exons: 1
Source: RefSeq, a predicted model, not a curated record
CAAUAAAAGAAGCAUGGUAAUGUUCACAUAAAUUGAUUUGGGUCUCUAUGUAUGCCUUCUCUGAUGCCAUUUGGUUUUCAUUUGGGGAUAUGGUUCCGCAGUAAAACA